GUAAUAGCUGACUGAUCGAGUGAUCCCGCGCGGAAAAUUCAACGGGGCUCAAGCCAGGCACCGAAAUUAUGGAUUCGAUUGGACUCCUGGUCCUUUCGAGUGGUAGGGGAGCGUCGUGUGGUAGGUUGAAGCUCGAGCGGAAGCGCGGGUGGACGAAGCACGAGUGCGAAUCCAGGAAUGAGUAGCGAAAAGCAAAGUGAGAAUCUUUGCCGCCGAAAGCCUAAGGUUUCAUUAGCAAGGUUCGUCCGCUAAUGCUCAGGCGGGCCUAAGCCGAGGCUGAAAAGCGUAGGCGAUGGACAGACGGUUGAUAUUCCGUCCCCGAUGGC
Molecule: ribosomal RNA, 326 nt
Filed under: Anophryoides haemophila
Lineage: Eukaryota; Ciliophora; Oligohymenophorea; Philasterida; Glauconematidae
Description: partial Bacterial large subunit ribosomal RNA
Rfam family: Bacterial large subunit ribosomal RNA
Source: RNAcentral